Molecule: ribosomal RNA, 196 nt
Filed under: uncultured bacterium
Lineage: Bacteria
Description: partial 16S ribosomal RNA
Rfam family: Bacterial small subunit ribosomal RNA
Source: RNAcentral
CCUACGGGAGGCAGCAGCGGGGAAUAUUGGACAAUGGGCGAAAGCCUGAUCCAGCCAUGCCGCGUGUGUGAAGAAGGCCUUUUGGUUGUAAAGCACUUUAAGCGAGGAGGAGGCUACUUGGAUUAAUACUCUAGGAUAGUGGACGUUACUCGCAGAAUAAGCACCGGCUAUCUCUGUGCCAGCAGCCGCGGUAAUA